AUGCUGAUGAUUCCUAGUGUGCUCAUGCGAAAAUGUUUGCUCAAGUUCAUUAUUAAAUCAUAUGCGUUGGACAGAAAAAGGUUCAUCAUGCCAUCAAAAAAUGGUGCGAUAUCAUUGCGCACCGAAGAUGUGUUUGACAUUUUCGGGCUACAGAACAAGGGCAAAGAUGCCAUGAAAGCGCUAGGAAAAGGGGGUGUUAAAGGCGAAGGUGAAGGUGCCUAG
This 222-nucleotide ribosomal RNA is filed under the name Triticum aestivum (bread wheat). RNAcentral's name for it is "partial small subunit ribosomal RNA". Lineage: Eukaryota; Viridiplantae; Streptophyta; Magnoliopsida; Poales; Poaceae. The record is from RNAcentral.